UUUUAUGGAGAGUUUGAUCCUGGCUCAGAGUGAACGCUGGCGGCGUGCCUAAUACAUGCAAGUCGAACGAUGAAGCUUC
This 79-nucleotide ribosomal RNA is filed under the name Campylobacter coli. Its description in RNAcentral is "partial 16S ribosomal RNA". It matches the Rfam family "Bacterial small subunit ribosomal RNA", at positions 1 to 78 of the family's 1533-position model. RNAcentral also lists the same sequence under 1 other name. The record is from RNAcentral. Lineage: Bacteria; Pseudomonadati; Campylobacterota; Epsilonproteobacteria; Campylobacterales; Campylobacteraceae.